UACGGAGGUGGCAAGCGUUGCUCGGAAUCACUGGGCAUAAAGGGCGCGUAGGCGGUUCGACAAGUCAGGUGUGAAAUACCCCGGCUCAACCGAGGAAUGGCGCUUGAUACUAUCGAGCUGGAGUGCAGUAGGGGAGAGUGGAAUUCCCGGUGUAGCGGUGAAAUGCGUAGAUAUCGGGAAGAACGCCGGUGGCGAAAGCGGCUCUCUGGACUGUAACUGACGCUGAGGCGCGAAAGCUAGGGGAG
This 245-nucleotide ribosomal RNA is filed under the name uncultured bacterium. RNAcentral's name for it is "partial 16S ribosomal RNA". It matches the Rfam family "Bacterial small subunit ribosomal RNA", at positions 524 to 768 of the family's 1533-position model. The record is from RNAcentral.